CCUACGGGAGGCAGCAGUGAGGAAUAUUGGUCAAUGGGCGGGAGCCUGAACCAGCCAAGUCGCGUGAGGGAAGACGGUCCUAUGGAUUGUAAACCUCUUUAGGCGGGGAGCAAUGCCGGGCACGCGUGCCCGGAGGGAGAGUACCCGCAGCAUAAGCAUCGGCUAACUCCGUGCCAGCAGCCGCGGUAAUACGGAGGAUGCGAGCGUUAUCCGGAGUUAUUGGGUUUAAAGGGUGCGUAGGCGGAUUUUUAAGUCAGCGGUAAAAUGUCCGGGCUCAACCCGGGCCGGCCGUUGAAACUGGGGAUCUUGAGUGGGCGAGAAGUAUGCGGAAUGCGUGGUGUAGCGGUGAAAUGCAUAGAUAUCACGCAGAACUCCGAUUGCGAAGGCAGCAUACUGGCGCCCGACUGACGCUGAGGCACGAAAGCGUGGGGAUCGAACAGGAUUAGAUACCCGAGUAGUC
RNAcentral lists this ribosomal RNA (460 nucleotides) under uncultured bacterium. RNAcentral describes it as "partial 16S ribosomal RNA". It matches the Rfam family "Bacterial small subunit ribosomal RNA", at positions 338 to 795 of the family's 1533-position model. The record is from RNAcentral.